Molecule: ribosomal RNA, 369 nt
Filed under: uncultured bacterium
Lineage: Bacteria
Description: bacterial SSU rRNA
Rfam family: Bacterial small subunit ribosomal RNA
Source: RNAcentral
GUAGGGUGCGAGCGUUAAUCGGAAUUACUGGGCGUAAAGCGUGCGCAGGCGGUUCGUUGUGUCGGCGGUGAAAGCCCCGGGCUCAACCUGGGAAUGGCCGUUGAAACUGGCGAACUGGAGUGUGGCAGAGGGGGGUGGAAUUCCGCGUGUAGCAGUGAAAUGCGUAGAGAUGCGGAGGAACACCGAUGGCGAAGGCAGCCCCCUGGGCUGACACUGACGCUCAGGCACGAAAGCGUGGGGAGCAAACAGGAUUAGAUACCCUGGUAGUCCACGCCCUAAACGAUGUCGACUGGGUGUUGGGGAAGCGAUUUCCCAGUACCGUAGCUAACGCGUGAAGUCGACCGCCUGGGGAGUGCGGCCGCAAGGUUA